This 497-nucleotide ribosomal RNA is filed under the name uncultured bacterium. Its description in RNAcentral is "partial 16S ribosomal RNA". It matches the Rfam family "Bacterial small subunit ribosomal RNA", at positions 28 to 507 of the family's 1533-position model. The record is from RNAcentral.
GAUGAACGCUGGCGGCGUGCCUAAUACAUGCAAGUCGAGCGAACAGAUGAGGAGCUUGCUCCUCUGACGUUAGCGGCGGACGGGUGAGUAACACGUGGAUAACCUACCUAUAAGACUGGGAUAACUUCGGGAAACCGGAGCUAAUACCGGAUAAUAUAUUGAACCGCAUGGUUCAAUAGUGAAAGACGGUUUUGCUGUCACUUAUAGAUGGAUCCGCGCCGCAUUAGCUAGUUGGUAAGGUAACGGCUUACCAAGGCAACGAUGCGUAGCCGACCUGAGAGGGUGAUCGGCCACACUGGAACUGAGACACGGUCCAGACUCCUACGGGAGGCAGCAGUAGGGAAUCUUCCGCAAUGGGCGAAAGCCUGACGGAGCAACGCCGCGUGAGUGAUGAAGGUCUUCGGAUCGUAAGACUCUGUUAUUAGGGAAGAACAAAUGUGUAAGUAACUAUGCACGUCUUGACGGUACCUAAUCAGAAAGCCACGGCUAACUACGUG